AUCAUAGUGGGGGGUCCCUCAGGGUAUUUUGAGCAUCAACAACUUAAUUUCCUGCAUUCUGACACUUUUAUGCACCAAUUUACAGUGGAAAUCCUUUUAUUUAGCCGAUGUGAAGAUGAAAAACACAGAUGGCAAUUCAAAAUAUAUCAAAAUUAUAACAGAAAGUGUGUUGUUGCGUGUCACUGGCUAUUUUUAAGUGAGUAUAUGGAAAUCCUGGAGCUUUCUUAGCGGAUAUACUGCGUAUACCUGCAGAGCACGUAGA
This is a long non-coding RNA of Sander lucioperca (pikeperch), 262 nucleotides long. RefSeq lists it as uncharacterized. The transcript is spliced from 3 exons. Lineage: Eukaryota; Metazoa; Chordata; Actinopteri; Perciformes; Percidae. The record is from RefSeq and is a predicted model, not a curated record.